GGUUGUGGCUCAGUGGUAGAUCACUCGCCUAGCACGUUUGUGGCCCUGGGUUCGAUCCUCAGCACCA
Molecule: transfer RNA, 67 nt
Filed under: Marmota monax (woodchuck)
Lineage: Eukaryota; Metazoa; Chordata; Mammalia; Rodentia; Sciuridae
Description: tRNA.Ala
Source: RNAcentral